This is a non-coding RNA of Mus caroli (Ryukyu mouse), 206 nucleotides long. The record is from RefSeq and is a predicted model, not a curated record. NCBI's taxonomy places the organism in Eukaryota, Metazoa, Chordata, Mammalia, Rodentia, Muridae.
CAACAAUGCAAAUGGGGAAAGCAAACUAAGGACCCAAGAAAGUUGCCAUGCACCGCCCCACAGUUCCCUGCAACAGACAGGAAGUUUCAUGCAGGAGGGAGCGAGACGGGGAAGUUCCUAAGCAUACCCAGUGAAAGCAAACAAACAAACAAAACCCCAUACGCCCCGUGGCUUCAGGUCUUUUGCAAGCCGGGGCGCCAAGCUGG